Molecule: long non-coding RNA, 1492 nt
Filed under: Nicotiana tabacum (common tobacco)
Lineage: Eukaryota; Viridiplantae; Streptophyta; Magnoliopsida; Solanales; Solanaceae
Description: long non-coding RNA (NTAB_LNC017741)
Source: RNAcentral
CUCGCAAUGCAUGAAGAAACUCACUCAGACAUGUCACUAAUGGUCUUGAUAAAUACGGAUUCUGAAAAGAUUAAUACUAAAGAUGUUGUGUCCACGAUGGCCAUGAGUUACUUUGAAUAUGAAGCUGGAAACAAGGAGAUAAAUAUCCCUAGUGUUAAAGGUAAUCUUCAUCUUUUUUCUAAGAAACGAUUAUCUGCCAUGGUGCUCUCUUUAAUUAAUCAGAUUGAAAGAUUGGGUGUUAACAAAGAAAAAUUAUUCAAUAAUUUUUCAACUGUUAAGUUUGUACGCCACAAAAUUGAGUUCAGCACGUCUGAACUAAAAAGGGAAAAACAAAAUCUUAAGAAACAUGCUUUUAUUUAAAAUAUGAAAUUGAAGCAUUCAAAUUUGAAAAUGACAAUUUAAAAGAAGCACCAUUUAAAGGAAAAAGGUGAGAUCCAUAAUAUUUAAGAGUCCCUUGAAAAUAAAUUAAAAUUGAUCAAGGAAAACUUAUACAACCAAGUUGAACGAAAUAAAAUAAUUCAAGAGGACUGAACAAGGCCAAAUAUGAACUGACAAUUAACCUUAUUUCAUCUUUUCAAUGAUGCCAAAAGGUGAAAGUGUGCAUGAAAGUGAAUGCAAAUGAAUUGCAGAUUUUGAUAUGCUGAAGGGGUGUUUCGUGUCAUUACUUUAUCAUCUUUAAAAGGAAAAAUUUAUUAGAAAUCUAGUUUUAAUGAUCAACAAAUGUCACCUGCUGAAUCUCAGACCUUGGGUCUACUGGUAGUUCCUAUACAACUAAGAGUCCUAGCGAGAAGGGGAUUCACUUUUGCGUCCGACAAGGAUCUAUUUAUACUAUGCUUGGCAACCACAUGAUAACAUCAGAAAAUCUUGGCAGAGCUUUAUAAGUUGAGUUUAGGCCAAGAUUUGUGGAAGUACUUAUGAAAGUAUAUUUUACGUUUUUGGAAGAUCGAAGGAAAAUAUUUUCACUUCUUUUAUUUGCUGGGGUUAGGAGAUUUGGUGCAACUUGGUGAACACUCUUCUAUUCAUAGCCGUCUAUUAUGUAUUUAUAUAUAUAGUACGAGUUUAUUUUUGCAAAGGUUGUGCACCUACACACACAACUGAGACAUCCUUCUUGUGAGCAGCAACUUUCGAGAACCAAGAGCAAAAUAAAUUAAAGAACACAGUUCGAGAGAUCAUUGAUUCAAGUUUAGUUCGUUUGUCUUGAUUUUGUAAUAGGGGUUUUCUCUGCUUAUAUUAGAAGCUAUUUAUAAGAACUCUUGAGUGACAAUUUUUGUUCUAGACUGAGAAAUUAGUUUGGAGUAAGUAGCUACAAUCAGUUUGAUUGCAGGGUGUUGAGUGACUAGAUUUAGUCUAUUAGGUUAUAAAUGUAUUUUAUAACUUGAAACUGCUCGUUGUUGUUAGUGAAAUUUGUGAGAAAAAUCCUAGAGUUGGGUUGUGAUUUUACUCCCUUGAGCAAGGAGAUUUUUUAAUGUAAAAUUUAUGUCUUCUUUUUGCA